RNAcentral lists this ribosomal RNA (253 nucleotides) under uncultured bacterium. Its description in RNAcentral is "partial 16S ribosomal RNA". It matches the Rfam family "Bacterial small subunit ribosomal RNA", at positions 524 to 776 of the family's 1533-position model. The record is from RNAcentral.
UACAGGGGGUGCAAACGUUGCUCGGAAUCAUUGGGCGUAAAGCGCACGUAGGCGGUUCGUUAUGUCGGAUGUGAAAGCCCUUGGCUUAACCGAGGAAGUGCAUCCGAAACUGGCGAGCUAGAGUACUAAAGAGGAUCGCGGAAUUCCCGGUGUAGAGGUGAAAUUCGUAGAUAUCGGGAGGAACACCGGUGGCGAAGGCGGCGAUCUGGGUCGAUACUGACGCUGAGGUGCGAAAGCGUGGGGAGCAAACAGG